This 468-nucleotide ribosomal RNA is filed under the name uncultured bacterium. RNAcentral's name for it is "partial 16S ribosomal RNA". It matches the Rfam family "Bacterial small subunit ribosomal RNA", at positions 28 to 507 of the family's 1533-position model. The record is from RNAcentral.
GACGAACGCUGGCGGCGGGCUUAACACAUGCAAGUCGAACGGAAAGGCCCUGCAGCUGUGGGGUGCGCGAGCGGCGAACGGGCGAGUAACAAGUGAGUAAGCUGCCGUUGACUGGGGGAGAACUACUGGAAACUGGGGCUAAUAACGGAUAGGAGCGCCGGCUGCAUGAUGGGGGGGGGAAAGGUGCGGCGGUUGGGGAUGGACUCGCGGCUUAUCAGCUUGUUGGUGGGGUAGUGGCUUACCAAGGCUUUGACGGGUAGCCGGCCUGAGAGGGUGACCGGCCACAUUGGGACUGCGGUACGGCCCAGACUCCUACGGGAGGCAGAAGUGGGGAAUAUUGCACAAUGGGCGGAAGCCUGAUGCAGCAACGCCGCGUGCGGGAUGACGGCCUUCGGGUUGUAAACCGCUUUCGCCUGUGACGAAGCGUGAGUGACGGUAAUGGGUAAAGAAGCACCGGCUAACUACGUG